CGCGAAAGCCGCCGGCGAAGUUCCCCCGACUGUAAUGUUGUGUUGAGGUGAUUUGUGUUGCUCUGAAUCCACCACGAGACUAAAGACACUGCUGCUAUUCCCGCUGGAUCGCCGGAUAAAACAGUGUUGUGGAGCUGCUCACUAUUAGCUGUUUCGAAAACGGGAUUUAACUACUGGGGGACUUACGAUGUCAUUUGCACGCUCCUGCUUGGGAACUCUGCUGGUGCUGCUGCUGUGUGCAUUCAUUUCAGAGGGUAAGUCGACACCAAUGAUUUGUGUUUGAUGAAACGUGGGUGGAGGAGAUGGAUGUGAAACACAGUUCAAGUGUCAUUUGCAGAAGGUUUUUCAGUGUGGUGGUGUGAGGUUAUCCACUCGAAGCCUUUGUGCCAGAGCCAGUGCAAUGCUCGACAGACAGAUGAAUGUCAAGUCAACGCUUAUAGCAGGCUCGACCUUGACCCAGCCAUAAGAAGUGUGUUGAAGAGAAGUGUGUAGAAACGAAUCUGCCAUUAGAAAACAAUGCAUUAGAGGCUUAUUAAACACACACAUCCCUCUUUUUUGGUUUAUGCUCUUGAAACUCUUGAAACUCACCUUCUGUGAAGAGCUUUUGAAAUAAUUACCUUGACAUUUUUUAAUUAGGAUAAGUAUGGAAAGGUGCUUUCUGAUAAUUAGCUUAGUCUCUUUUUGGUGUUGGUGACUAAUCGUCUUGC
RNAcentral lists this long non-coding RNA (707 nucleotides) under Astyanax mexicanus (Mexican tetra). Its description in RNAcentral is "lncRNA (ENSAMXG00005008132.1)". Lineage: Eukaryota; Metazoa; Chordata; Actinopteri; Characiformes; Acestrorhamphidae. The record is from RNAcentral.